AUAACGACUCUCGGCAACGGAUAUCUCGGCUCUCGCAUCGAUGAAGAACGCAGCGAAAUGCGAUACCUGGUGUGAAUUGCAGAAUCCCGUGAAUCAUCGAGUCUUUGAACGCAAGUUGCGCCCGAGGCCAUUAGGUCGAGGGCACGCCUGCCUGGGUGUCACG
This 163-nucleotide ribosomal RNA is filed under the name Nuytsia floribunda. RNAcentral describes it as "5.8S ribosomal RNA". It matches the Rfam family "5.8S ribosomal RNA". From Rfam's summary of the family: 5.8S ribosomal RNA (5.8S rRNA) is a component of the large subunit of the eukaryotic ribosome. It is transcribed by RNA polymerase I as part of the 45S precursor that also contains 18S and 28S rRNA. Lineage: Eukaryota; Viridiplantae; Streptophyta; Magnoliopsida; Santalales; Loranthaceae. The record is from RNAcentral.